RNAcentral lists this ribosomal RNA (463 nucleotides) under uncultured bacterium. RNAcentral describes it as "SSU rRNA". It matches the Rfam family "Bacterial small subunit ribosomal RNA", at positions 26 to 518 of the family's 1533-position model. The record is from RNAcentral.
AGGAUUAACGCUGGCGGCGUGCCUAACACAUGCAAGUCGAACGAGGUAGCAAUACCUAGUGGCAGACGGGUGAGUAGCGCGUGGUCAACCUACCGUUGAGUGGGGGAUAACUAGCCGAAAGGUUAGCUAAUACCGCAUACGUCUCCGAGGGGCAUCCCUUGGUGAUAAAAGGAGCAAUCCGCUCGAUGACGGGACCGCGUCCCAUUAGCUAGUUGGUGGGGUAACGGCCUACCAAGGCAUCGAUGGGUAGCUGGUUUGAGAGAGCGACCAGCCACACUGGGACUGAGAUACGGCCCAGACUCCUACGGGAGGCAGCAGUGAGGAAUUUUCCGCAAUGGGCGAAAGCCUGACGGAGCGACGCCGCGUGUGGGAAGAAGGCCUUCGGGUCGUAAACCACUGUCGAAGGGGAAGAUAAUGACGGUACCCUUGGAGGAAGCCCGGCUAACUACGUGCCAGCAGCCGC